This 611-nucleotide ribosomal RNA is filed under the name bacterium 4746K6-B18. RNAcentral's name for it is "bacterial SSU rRNA". It matches the Rfam family "Bacterial small subunit ribosomal RNA", at positions 57 to 663 of the family's 1533-position model. The record is from RNAcentral.
GCAAGUCGAACGGCAGCACGGACUUCGGUCUGGUGGCGAGUGGCGAACGGGUGAGUAAUGUAUCGGAACGUGCCUAGUAGCGGGGGAUAACUACGCGAAAGCGUAGCUAAUACCGCAUACGCCCUACGGGGGAAAGCAGGGGAUCGCAAGACCUUGCACUAUUAGAGCGGCCGAUAUCGGAUUAGCUAGUUGGUGGGGUAACGGCUCACCAAGGCGACGAUCCGUAGCUGGUUUGAGAGGACGACCAGCCACACUGGGACUGAGACACGGCCCAGACUCCUACGGGAGGCAGCAGUGGGGAAUUUUGGACAAUGGGGGAAACCCUGAUCCAGCCAUCCCGCGUGUGCGAUGAAGGCCUUCGGGUUGUAAAGCACUUUUGGCAGGAAAGAAACGUCAUGGGCUAAUACCCCGUGAAACUGACGGUACCUGCAGAAUAAGCACCGGCUAACUACGUGCCAGCAGCCGCGGUAAUACGUAGGGUGCAAGCGUUAAUCGGAAUUACUGGGCGUAAAGCGUGCGCAGGCGGUUCGGAAAGAAAGAUGUGAAAUCCCAGAGCUUAACUUUGGAACUGCAUUUUUAACUACCGAGCUAGAGUGUGUCAGAGGGAGGUG